CCUUUCGUAGUUCAGCGGUUAGAACGCUUGGCUGUAGCCCGAGAAAUCCCCAGUUCGAAUCUGGGCGAAGGGA
Molecule: transfer RNA, 73 nt
Filed under: Candidatus Pacearchaeota archaeon
Lineage: Archaea; Nanobdellati
Description: tRNA-Tyr
Rfam family: tRNA
About the family: Transfer RNA (tRNA) molecules are approximately 80 nucleotides in length. Their secondary structure includes four short double-helical elements and three loops (D, anti-codon, and T loops). Further hydrogen bonds mediate the characteristic L-shaped molecular structure. tRNAs have two regions of fundamental functional importance: the anti-codon, which is responsible for specific mRNA codon recognition, and the 3' end, to which the tRNAs corresponding amino acid is attached (by aminoacyl-tRNA synthetases). tRNAs cope with the degeneracy of the genetic code in two manners: having more than one tRNA (with a specific anti-codon) for a particular amino acid; and 'wobble' base-pairing, i.e. permitting non-standard base-pairing at the 3rd anti-codon position.
Source: RNAcentral